Molecule: ribosomal RNA, 209 nt
Filed under: uncultured bacterium
Lineage: Bacteria
Description: partial 16S ribosomal RNA
Rfam family: Bacterial small subunit ribosomal RNA
Source: RNAcentral
CCUACGGGAGGCAGCAGUGGGGAAUAUUGGACAAUGGGCGAAAGCCUGAUCCAGCCAUGCCGCGUGUGUGAAGAAGGUCUUCGGAUUAUCAAGCACUUUAAGUUGGGUGGAAGGGCAGUAAAUUAAUACUUUGCUGUUUUGACGUUACCGACAGAAUAAGCACCGGCUAACUCUGUGCCAGCAGCCGCGGUAAUACAGAGGGUGCAAGC